RNAcentral lists this ribosomal RNA (425 nucleotides) under uncultured bacterium. RNAcentral's name for it is "partial 16S ribosomal RNA". It matches the Rfam family "Bacterial small subunit ribosomal RNA", at positions 354 to 796 of the family's 1533-position model. The record is from RNAcentral.
GUGGGGGAUAUUGCACAAUGGGGGAAACCCUGAUGCAGCGACGCCGCGUGAAGGAAGACGUACUUCGGUAUGUAAACUUCUAUCAGCAGGGAAGAAGAUGACGGUACCUGACUAAGAAGCCCCGGCUAACUACGUGCCAGCAGCCGCGGUAAUACGUAGGGGGCAAGCGUUAUCCGGAUUUACUGGGUGUAAAGGGAGCGUAGACGGUGAAGCAAGUCUGAUGUGAAAACCCGGGGCUCAACUCCGGGAUUGCAUUGGAAACUGUUUUACUUGAGUGCUGGAGGGGCAAGCGGAAUUCCUGGUGUAGCGGUGAAAUGCGUAGAUAUCAGGAAGAACACCGGUGGCGAAGGCGGCUUGCUGUACAGUAACUGACGUUGAGGCUCGAAAGCGUGGGGAGCAAACAGGAUUAGAAACCCGAGUAGUCC